RNAcentral lists this ribosomal RNA (300 nucleotides) under Triticum aestivum (bread wheat). RNAcentral describes it as "partial small subunit ribosomal RNA". Lineage: Eukaryota; Viridiplantae; Streptophyta; Magnoliopsida; Poales; Poaceae. The record is from RNAcentral.
AUGCAUGGCUUCCCGCCGGCCGGCGAGCUGAGCUGCUCCUCGAACGGCGGUCACGUACGCCAAGGGAGCGCGCGCGUGCGUGCGUGGCCAGGCUACGGCUUGGUGCGGCGGGCGGUGUCGGGCGGGGCGGAGGCGAGGCGGGAGGCGAUGGCGGAGUGGUACAUGACGUCGUGGAAGCUCUCCGUCUCCAUCAUCCGCAGCCGCAGCUGCCGCGCCUUCUCCUCCGUCAGCACCCCGAACCGCCUCUUCCCCCGCUCCUCCUUCGGCGCCGGUUCGGCCGCCGGCUGGGGCUCGAUGUAG